AACGCACCUUGCGCUCCCCGGUAUUCCGAGGAGCAUGCCUGUUUGAGUGUCUUGAAGUCAUCAACCGUCACCGUUUGAACGCGGGGACGGGUUGGACCUGGGGUUGUGCCGCUGCGAGGCGGCUCCCUUCAAAUGCAUCGGUUGGACCUGUGGGUCGAACUCGACUGGGCGUUGUAACAUCCUCGCUCUACCGAGAGGUUCCCCCUUUGGCGUCCUCCCACGACUCGCCUGUGGAGCGGCGGUCAAUUUGCUCUGAAAUCUGACCUCAAAUCAGGUAGGACUACCCGCUGAACUUAA
Molecule: unclassified non-coding RNA, 297 nt
Filed under: uncultured fungus
Lineage: Eukaryota; Fungi
Description: partial contains 5.8S ribosomal RNA, internal transcribed spacer 2, and large subunit ribosomal RNA
Rfam family: 5.8S ribosomal RNA (bases 1-52)
Source: RNAcentral